This is a long non-coding RNA of Leptinotarsa decemlineata (Colorado potato beetle), 610 nucleotides long. NCBI's taxonomy places the organism in Eukaryota, Metazoa, Arthropoda, Insecta, Coleoptera, Chrysomelidae. The record is from RefSeq and is a predicted model, not a curated record.
UUUGACACCCUACAAAUCAUUUUCAGUUGUAUCUGCCAGUCACAAAUGAAUUAUAUGUGGACAGAACGGGCAUAAGUGUUUUUGAUCACUAUGUCCAAAUUAUAAUGACUGGGCAAUUCAGAGAAUUUGAUUAUGGAACUGUAAAAAAUAUUCGUGUAUAUGGACAAAUCAUUCCUCCCAGUUACCAACUUUCAAAUAUUAAAGUACCAAUAGCUCUGUUCGUUGGAAAAAAUGACUUGCUAGCAUCUCCUGGGGAUGCCACUGUUCUCUCCGUCCGGUUAGGGUCUUCUCUUUGUGGAUUGACUUUUAUAUCUUAUCCAAUAUGGAACCACAUUGAUUUUUUAACAGCCAAAGAUAUGAACCUAUAUUUGAAUACUCCAGUCCUUGCUAAAGUUGCGCAAAUGGAACAAGGACUUUGCUAGAGUCAAGAAUUGAUAUUUAUGGUACUCUUGUGAGAAACUAUGGAUUCUUCCUCAUACAAUAACUAUAGUCGUUUCAAUAAGUCAUGUGUCGAUAGUGAGUUUUUGAUUUGGCGUUUUGAUAUAUCACCUUUAUUUGUUUAUUAAUAUGGAUAACCAAAAAUAAUAACAAUAAAACACUUCAAAUCCUA